UACGUAGGGGGCAAGCGUUAUCCGGAAUCAUUGGGCGUAAAGCGCGUGUAGGCGGUUCCGUAAGUCCGCUCUGAAAGCCCAGGGCUCAACCCUGGGAGGCGGGUGGAUACUACGGAACUGGAGUACGGAAGAGGAGAUUGGAAUUCCUGGUGUAGCGGUGAAAUGCGUAGAGAUCGGGAGGAACAUCAGUGGCGAAGGCGGCCAUCUGGGACAACACUGACGCUGAAGCACGAAAGCGUGGGGAGCAAACAGG
Molecule: ribosomal RNA, 253 nt
Filed under: uncultured bacterium
Lineage: Bacteria
Description: partial 16S ribosomal RNA
Rfam family: Bacterial small subunit ribosomal RNA
Source: RNAcentral